Molecule: small RNA, 494 nt
Filed under: Pongo abelii (Sumatran orangutan)
Lineage: Eukaryota; Metazoa; Chordata; Mammalia; Primates; Hominidae
Description: retained intron
Source: RNAcentral
GAUAAAAUUUGUGGCCUUUCUCUCCUGUUUGAUUAUCAUUUUUGCCUUUUCUAAAAUUAAUAGGAGGAAACACCAAUUGGAAGCCUCCGCUCAACUGUAAGAUUUAUAAUUACCUGAACAGGAUUGGAUGCUUCUUCCUUCAUCCUCGCUGUAGUAAAAGAAAAGAUGCUGCUGAUUUUGCCAUAUGUAUGCAUGCUGGCCGUCUAGAUGAACAACUACCCAAGCAAAUUCCUUUCACCAUCCUCUCAGGAGAUCAAGGUUUUCUGGAGCUAGAGAAUCAAUUUAAGAAGACUCAGAGGCCAGCUCAUAUACUAAACCCUCACCACUUAGAGGGAGAUAUGAUGUGUGCCUUGUUAAAUAGCAUAUCUGAUACCACCAAAGGUACGCAGCUGCAGUCACAGUGCAAACCACCCAAGAGGAGGAGACUUCACUGCUGAGAGAAACCAAUAAACUGCUGUCCGCUAGUGAACUGUUGCCUGCUUACUAAACCAUCA